Erinaceus europaeus (western European hedgehog) is the source of this 538-nucleotide non-coding RNA. The record is from the annotation of a RefSeq genome assembly. Lineage: Eukaryota; Metazoa; Chordata; Mammalia; Eulipotyphla; Erinaceidae.
AUGGCUCUGCAUGGCAUUGUGAAGGCCGCUUGGCUGCAGCUCUUUCUCAGCAGUUUCUGGAAAGUUGCUGAGAGCAAGGACCAAGUACUCCAGCCUCCCACCAUGCUGUCUUUGGAGGGCUCUGUGGUGCAAAUCCCCUGCAGUCACUCCAUCUCUAAUGCCUACAACUACUUCUGGUAUCUUCACCUCCCGGGAAGGUGAAGAUUUUGUGAAGGGUUUGGGUCCUUCUCGGCAGGGACAUUACAACAUGACCCAGGAGUGCUUCUCCUCGUCACUGCUCAUCCCUCACGUGCAGGUGGCAGAUGCUGCCAUCUACUGCUGUGCUCUGGAGGCCACGUCGGUUGGUGUUAGCUUUGGAGUGAUUAAGGGACGUGCUAUAGAAGAGAGCGCUGUUACACAAACUAGAAUUCUAGGCAAAGAAUGCACCAAUCCUUUAGCUCCUCCUUCACCCAAACUGUCUGAUGUGUCUUUAGAAAUCAGAAAGUAUCCAGAUUUGUCAUGGAACAGUCGCUUGCAAACAUCUCUGGAACACGCUUAG